This 394-nucleotide ribosomal RNA is filed under the name Paulinella sp. RNAcentral's name for it is "partial small subunit ribosomal RNA". It matches the Rfam family "Eukaryotic small subunit ribosomal RNA", at positions 587 to 975 of the family's 1831-position model. Lineage: Eukaryota; Cercozoa; Imbricatea; Euglyphida; Paulinellidae. The record is from RNAcentral.
AGCUCCAGUAGCGUAUAUUAAAGUUGUUGCAGUUAAAAAGCUCGUAGUUGGAUUUCUGGCUGACCGUGUAUGGUCCGGCACCCUCAGGGUGCUGCGUACCGUCGCGCGUUUGCCAUCCUUCCGGAAAGUUGUGCCUACCGUCUUGCACGGAAGGGCGCUGCGAUCUGGAUCUUUUACUUUGAAAAAAUUAGAGUGUUCCAAGCAAGCAUCUGCUUGAAUACAUUAGCAUGGAAUAAUAAUAUAGGACUUCUGUUCUAUUUUGUUGGUUUCUAGAACCGAAGUAAUGAUUGAUAGGGAUCGUUGGGGGUGCUAGUAUUCAGCGGCCAGAGGUGAAAUUCUUGGAUUCGCUGAAGACUAACUACUGCGAAAGCAUUCACCAAGGAGGUCUUCUUUA